This 82-nucleotide transfer RNA is filed under the name Ganoderma lucidum G.260125-1. Its description in RNAcentral is "tRNA-Leu (CAG) (tRNA-Leu-CAG-3-1)". It matches the Rfam family "tRNA". From Rfam's summary of the family: Transfer RNA (tRNA) molecules are approximately 80 nucleotides in length. Their secondary structure includes four short double-helical elements and three loops (D, anti-codon, and T loops). The record is from RNAcentral. Lineage: Eukaryota; Fungi; Basidiomycota; Agaricomycetes; Polyporales; Polyporaceae.
GGCGAGAUGGCCGAGCGGUCUAAGGCGCCAGAAUCAGGAUCUGGUCCGUAACAGGGCGUGGGUUCGAAUCCCACUCUCGUCA